RNAcentral lists this ribosomal RNA (922 nucleotides) under uncultured bacterium. RNAcentral describes it as "bacterial SSU rRNA". It matches the Rfam family "Bacterial small subunit ribosomal RNA", at positions 578 to 1500 of the family's 1533-position model. The record is from RNAcentral.
UUCGGGUAAGUCAGAUGUCAAAUUUCGAUGCUCAACGUCGGAUCGCAUUUGAUACUGCCUGGCUAGAGGAAUUGAGAGGAGGUCGGAAUUCACGGUGUAGCAGUGAAAUGCGUAGAUAUCGUGAGGAAGACCAACGGCGAAAGCAGGCCUCUGGAAAUUUCCUGACACUGAGGCUCGAAGGCCAGGGGAGCAAACGGGAUUAGAUACCCCGGUAGUCCUGGCAGUAAACGGUGCACGUUUGGUGUGGGAGGAUUCGACCCCUUCCGUGCUGAAGCUAACGCGUUAAACGUGCCGCCUGAGAAGUACGGUCGCAAGAUUAAAACUCAAAGAAAUUGACGGGGGCCCGCACAAGCGGUGGAGUAUGUGGCUUAAUUCGAUGCAACGCGAAGAACCUUACCUGGCCUUGACAUGCAGGAGACCGGAAAUGAAAGUUUCCCUUCCGCAAGGACUGCUGCACAGGUGCUGCAUGGCUGUCGUCAGCUCGUGUCGUGAGAUGUUGGGUUAAGUCCCGCAACGAGCGCAACCCUUGUGAACUGUUGCCGAGGUUAAUACCGAGGCCCUCUGUUCAGACUGCCCUGUGAAACGGGGAGGAAGGUGGGGAUGACGUCAAGUCAGCAUGGCCCUUACGGCCAGGGCUGCACACGUACUACAAUGCCCAGUACAGAAUGAUCCAAAACCGCGAGGUGGAGGGAAUCUCGAAAACUGGGCCCAGUUCGGAUUGGAGGCUGCAACUCGCCUCCAUGAAGCCGGAAUCGCUAGUAAUGGCGCAUCAGCUACGGCGCCGUGAAUACGUUCCCGGGCCUUGUACACACCGCCCGUCACAUCAUGGAAGUCUCUUGUUCCCGAAGUCAAAUGGUCAACCGCAAGGAAACCAUUGCCUAAGGGAUGAGCGGUAACUGGGAUGAAGUCGUAACAAGGUAAC